AAGGCAACAUCGAUGCUUUCAUGGGGUAUAACAUUCCACCGCCAAAUAUAUAUGAUAUUUUAAACGAUGUGUGGGGAAGGGUGAUUAGACCUCCAUUCAAUUACACCACGCUUCUAAAUUCUGAGAAUGAAUAUCGUAAGAUCGAAGCAAUAACCUUUUUUCCUCUGCCGCCACUGGUUUCGAUCCCACACCCACAACCCUCCAUCCUUCGAAUGCUCUUGCGUUUUCCUUAAACUGCCUCAUUCCGAAGCCAUACACACAUAACGGUUUUUCUAGGUGCUAGCAAUGUCGACUCCUGCUAGGAAGAGGCUCAUGAGAGAUUUCAAGAGGCUGCAACAAGACCCUCCUGCAGGAAUCAGUGGCGCCCCUCAGGAUAACAACAUCAUGCUGUGGAAUGCUGUCAUAUUUGGUCCUGAUGAUACUCCAUGGGAUGGAGGCACGUUUAAGUUGAUUCUUCAAUUUACUGAGGAUUAUCCAAACAAGCCACCAACUGUACGAUUUGUCUCUCGAAUGUUUCACCCAAACAUUUAUGCGGAUGGAAGUAUUUGUUUGGAUAUAUUACAAAACCAGUGGAGUCCUAUAUAUGAUGUAGCUGCUAUACUCACUUCUAUCCAGGGGGUCCAUUCUUGUUAAGAGGGAUGUCCUAAGACAUGGUGAGGGGAUGUGAAGGAUGGGCUAAAUGUGAGUAUCAGAACUCAUCGGAGAAUGGGAAUUGAACUGGUAUAAGUCAUUGCUUUGUGAUCCCAACCCAAAUUCUCCUGCAAACUCAGAAGCAGCUCGAAUGUUUAGUGAGAACAAGCGGGAGUACAAUCGAAGAGUUAGAGAAAUUGUGGAGCAAAGUUGGACAGCUGACUAAGCUUGUCUUCAUAUGCUUCUGGGCCUUUGAAGUCACGAAUUAGAUUGCACUGCUACCUAUAAGAAUCAUUGUGCCAACUUACUGAAUUUUAUGUCACAUUCCUUACUGUUUUGAAUGUUAGGAUCAUCUUAUGUUUAAUUCAUUGUAGUUUGUGCAUUGUCCAUGUCAGUUCAUGUAUUAUAGAAUUCUGUCAAUUUGCAUCAAGAUUGUUGUCAACACAAUGUAUAAGUUGUAGUUUCCAGAAUUGGUUAUGAUCACAAGGCUUCAAUUUCUAUGGUUUCCUUGUCA
Molecule: RNA transcript, 1144 nt
Organism: Glycine soja
Lineage: Eukaryota; Viridiplantae; Streptophyta; Magnoliopsida; Fabales; Fabaceae
Gene name: ubiquitin-conjugating enzyme E2 2-like
Exons: 7
Source: RefSeq, a predicted model, not a curated record